RNAcentral lists this ribosomal RNA (384 nucleotides) under uncultured bacterium. RNAcentral's name for it is "bacterial SSU rRNA". It matches the Rfam family "Bacterial small subunit ribosomal RNA", at positions 28 to 412 of the family's 1533-position model. The record is from RNAcentral.
GACGAACGCUGGCGGCGUGCUUAACACAUGCAAGUCGAGCGGUAAGGCCCUUUCGGGGGUACACGAGCGGCGAACGGGUGAGUAACACGUGGGUGACCUGCCCUCAGCUCUGGGGAUAAGCCCGGGAAACUGGGUCUAAUACUGGAUAUGACUCCAUGACGCAUGUUGUGGGGUGGAAAGCCUUGUGCGGCUAGGGAUGGGCCCGCGGCCUAUCAGCUUGUUGGUGGGGUGAUGGCCUACCAAGGCGACGACGGGUAGCCGGCCUGAGAGGGCGACCGGCCACACUGGGACUGAGACACGGCCCAGACUCCUACGGGAGGCAGCAGUGGGGAAUAUUGCGCAAUGGGCGAAAGCCUGACGCAGCGACGCCGCGUGUGGGAUGAC